CACGUGUCUUCUGUAAGACAUGAACUGCACCCAGCGAAUCACUGAGCCCUCCGUGCCUAGGACCAGGUGCCCCACGAACAUCCUGCUGUAGCCA
Molecule: long non-coding RNA, 94 nt
Filed under: Fukomys damarensis (Damara mole-rat)
Lineage: Eukaryota; Metazoa; Chordata; Mammalia; Rodentia; Bathyergidae
Description: lncRNA (ENSFDAG00000023858.1)
Source: RNAcentral